Long non-coding RNA from Mustela lutreola (European mink), 9316 nucleotides. RefSeq lists it as uncharacterized. The transcript has 3 exons. The record is from RefSeq and is a predicted model, not a curated record. NCBI's taxonomy places the organism in Eukaryota, Metazoa, Chordata, Mammalia, Carnivora, Mustelidae.
ACAGGAAGAUGAAAACUAUUAAAUGCAGGAAAACCCAUCUGAGCGAGUGAGCUCCGUCUCUGUGCCCGUGUCCAGAGAGGCCAACCUGCGCCACCGACAUGGGCCCAGGCAGAGCCUUUUGCUCUGCUCUGUGCAGAAUGGAAGGCAGAGACCGGAUUCAUUCCUGCACCGGCCUGAGCCCAAUUUAGCUUUAAGGGCCGCUGUCCUGCUUCAUAGUUUACGGUCCCUUUUUAAUCAGACAGAUGAUGGGCGGCGGCGCUGGGUAUUUGCAGCAAGUGAGACGCAGUUAGAAACCCUGCGCUAUUCCUGGCUGCCACUUGUCUUGCUGAGUGAGGUCGGCUGGUUGCCUGACCUCACAUGCCUGCGUUUCCUGAUCGACAAGCCAGGACACGCACACCUCGCUCAACCUCCCAUCCAGCAAUGCGAGGCAGCUGCGAACCCUGCCCGCAGGGCUGCCCGAGGGCGACCGUACUGGAUCAGGGCUUUGGCGAGAGAUCGGAGACACCCCUCCUUCCAUACAGUGACCAGACGACUGGCCUGAUUAUCAGGACCAUUAGACCCUCACUGAAUGCAUACUGGUGCCGGCCAGCCGGCCAAACAAGAGGAUUUCCAUGCAGUUUCCACGGCUGUAUCGAGCCAGCGCUCGCACACUGAGCAGCUCACCCAUUUAAAAUGCACUGUCUGUUGGGGUGUAGCAUAUACACAGUUGCAUGGCCAGUACCCCAGUCAAUUCUGGAAUGUUUGCAUCACCUCAAAGGGGAACCCUGCACCCACCAGGUAUCAUCAUCCCCAAAGCCCCAGCCCUAAGCCACUGUCAAUCUCCUUCCUGUCUCCAUCCAUGGCCCUACCCGGGACAGUUUGUGGGAAUGGAGUCUGAGCCUGGUGCCUGUCCUUCAGCUCAGUGUUUUCAGGGCUUCCCCUCUGCCGUGGCACCUCAUCUUUGACAUGUGUAUGUACUUCCGACCAUCUCCUCUACGGGGCCCUUUGACCGGCGCAGGAGAAGCCGCGGCUCGGAGCUUACCGCCCCCGGCAGGAAGUGGUCUGUGACCAUGAGUCUGCGGGGGACUGACUGGUCUGGAGGGUCGGAAGUGGGUCCCGGAGGAUGGCUGGCUUCUGGGGACACAACGCAGGCUCUCCUCAGAUGUGCUCACUGAUCGCUACUUGGCCAGUGCGCGAGACCUCUCUGCAGAGCCAGAGGCCGGAGUCCGUGCCCGGCGGGCCUCUCCUCCCCCUCUGAUCCCUCGCCUUGUGAACUCAGGGAGACCGCUGGGCUCCAGCUGGACUCUCCUUCCCUGUGCUGGUCUGGAAAUGUUCUCUAGGCAGGAAACGGGAGCAACUACAGGGCUUAUCCCAUUUGUUUCUAGAAUCUCAGGGGUCACUCUCCUUUGCUGCCUGAUGUCAACCGUCUUGAGAACUUGUGUGACUGAAUUUUUACUUGUUUCAGAAAAGAGGGCAAACCCAGUAUCUAUGAAUUCAUCUUGCUGGAAACAGAAAAGCUCAUCUUCGUGUACUUGGGAACGAAACAAUCUGUGGGCCAGUGCUACCUAUUUCUGCAUUUUCUAGAGGAAGAGAACUCAGAAAUAACCAAGUUAGAGGAAUCAACUGAUUUAAAAAAAAAAAAACAAAAAACGGUAUGACUGCAGCAAUUUCACAGGAACAUAACGAUGACUAAAGAGAAAAGCAACAGCCAUUCUCCGAUUCAUUAAUUCAUCCAGGGGCGGCAACUGGAAACCAUGACCCACUCAAGGCAACAGAGAUGCCUGCAGAAAAACCAAACGCGGCCCUCCCUCCCACGGCAGGGGCCCCAAGCUCUCCUGACAGGCGCUCCCCCAGAAGCACCCCAGGUUGCCAAAAAUUGCACAGUGGCCAAGCAUCUCAACGGGGCCUUAGAAUUCCCCACAGACUUCCCCCACGCUUUCAACCGGGGGAGAGCCACACUGGGUAGCCCUUUCUAACUCAGCAGGUCACUUUCCUUACAUGUGAAAGAAUCUGUGUUGAAGGAGAGACUUUCGUGUUUGGAUCCACAGACGCUUAGAGAGAAUGCUGCGCAUUGGCUUGGGCUCUUGGUCCCUAAGAAGCAGCCCUGACGCCAGUAGCUGAGGUUCAGACUGAGGGUUCGGCUUUAAGGUCUCUGUCUUCUUCUCUAGCCCUUUGCCCUCUCGUAUCUCUCAAAGCUUAUGUUAACACGGGGGACAAACAACGAUGACGACAGACAGAAACCCCACAAUCGGAGUCAUUAUUCGACAGUGUGAGUAAACCUGCAGAAGGUAAUGGAUCGCCUUAUCACAGGUCCCCAAGGUCCUGUUUCCUGUUACGAGGCAGCUAAGCCAAGUGUAUCUCGAAUAUUCUAGUCGAUCUUGACAGAAGCUCAGCUGUAAGACAAAAUGAACAUCUUUGAUUAAGAAUCUAAUUGGAAAUUAAAUUGGCUUUUAGAUUAGGACAGCUUGUCUACUCGGGGACGCUACUCUCACGGCCUGGCCAAGAUUACAUGGCCAAUGAACAGAGCCAAGCCCUCUCUCACUCCCGACCACCCCAUCUCCUCAAUUUGGUAUAAAAUACUCUUUAUAAGCAAGAUAAGUCACUGGAAAGAAAAAUGAGUUGCAGAGAAGCCCAAGGUGCAUUCUGAUUUUAUGCCUAAGGGGCAAGCGGAUGGACGCCGUGAUGAAAAGGCUCAACUCUACAAUAAAAAUCCGACUAGAAGCUUCCUCAGAGGCAGGGUUUGAAUUUCUGUGUACCAUCGGCAGGUUCCCAUUUCAGGCCCAGUGCAUUUUGAGACCUUGCUUUAACAUGGAUUGCUGAAAAGUGAAAUCUCACCUCCCCACAGGCGCCAUUCUAUCAGGAAAAUGGCACAGGGAGGACAUUAUGGACAGCCAAAGACAAUUAGCGACGGAUCUUGGUAAACAGUUGGAGGCGGGAGGAGACAGGCCCUGCCUGGUUUGCCCCUUAGAGCCACAGGCCCCAUUUUCUGAGGCCAAGCAAAAGCCUCCAACAGCGCAUGCAUUCCUGCUACUCCCAGGCCUUUGGAGACCACAGGGACGCACGUCUGCCGGAUCCCCGUCAUGUGACUUCCAAUCAUUGAUUUCUAUGGCUGAGUAUAUGAAGAUAAAACUAUUUACCGCCAUGAGUCUGGGUGUUUUUCUUAUCUAGAGAACAUACACAAGCUGACCCAUCAGGCAUAUCUUUUCUAAGUUGUAACGUUCUGAGAACGAUUAUACCUCCGGCCAGCCCUUUCAUUCGUUUGGGAGCAUGACGAGCUCACAGAGCAAGUGACUCGCAUCUUGCAACAGACGCCAUUUCAGCUCCUCGACUGUCGCCACACACUGACGAGUGUUAAGAAUCCGUGUGUGCAGUAAAAGAGAAACAGGUCAAGGAUGGGGAACUUCACACUCUGCUGUCACUCCCAUAAAUGAGGAUGAUGAAAGCACUACCAGCUUUAUACACAAUGUCUCAUUUAACUCUCAGCAAAUCUGGAUGAAUUAUCACUCACCCUCUGUACGGAGGACGGAACUCUGAGCAACAACAGCUCAGAGAGGUGAAGCGACUUGUCUGAAGUCACACAGCUGGGGUGGGAUUCCAGUGCACACAGUAGCCAUGAUCUUAACCAAUAAACCCUACUUGCUGGAAUGACUCACUUCUGUCUCGACUCCCUUCUGUGUUCAAGGAAUGGAAUUCAAACGGGAUAAUCUCCAGCUAGGCUAGAAAUGCUAGGCUCCUAUGGUCCCCUCGUGGGCCAGCUUUGCUGCGUAAUAGGGCCACAGAAGGAGCCGCCUCCUCCUGGAACACACAUCUGACAGCCAGCCAUACCCUUGGUGAGAGACGGGCCUGCACGGCAAGUACAUGGCUGGGACAGCCAGAACCAGCGCGCAAAAGGAGAAAGCAUGACGUGUCUGCUAUGGCGACGGUGUCCCGGCAGGGGACAGGCACGCAGGCGGUAGGAGACGUCAGUAUAGGUUUCUGGAUGGUGACCACUGGUCCCACCAUCUGUGGUGCUGACAACUGCGUGGUAGUCCGAGCACCACUCGGCUUGGAAGGCUCUGAGAUGACGUUUAUUCCUGUUUCCAGAAUGGCUCCAAAUGAGAAAAGACGACCCCACAGACCAGAGUCAGGGGUCAGCCAGGCCAGAUGCCUGAGGCCCUCAUGUGGGGAGAAGGCUCCAGAGCCUAAUUUAGCUCCGAACGAUUGUUGCUACUUGAUAAACAGCCUGGGCUCCCUUAGGCCUUGGGCAAGAGGGGUUCAGGCCGCGCUGUCCCAUCGCCCGUAUGUAGAACCUUGAAAAUCAUUAUAGCAGUUUCAUUUCCCUACUGGGGUACAUCUUGUUCCCUAAAACAGAAAACGAAAGUGAUUUAAAAGCAAACAUCUCAAGACUUGCGAAUUCGAAAUGCUUCUGAAAAUUCUGGCUGGUGACAAGCCGUUCCAUCAGCUCAUGCAGCCCCUCUGUCAGCGCAGCCGGGGACUCCAGAUCGGCCCGCCAGCCCCCUCUGCUCCUCCCGCACCCCCAGGGCUGGCCGGGAAGCUCUGGGUUGCUGGUGAUCUAGGGUCGAAAACAAUGUGGAGAAUCUCCGGCCACGGCUGUGGAAUGGACAGGAUUCUAUUUAUAAGCAGAGAGGGGCUGAACAAUGGAGCAACUGCCGCCUCGGUGGGUCUGUAGCCUGACCUCCUGUGAGACUCUGGAAAGCCUCAAAGCCAGACCCCGGAAGAGAUGGCACAGGAAGGAGGCGAUUAGACCGCUCAAGGUCAUGAAGCCAGCUGCUUCCUCCACGGUCCGACCACCUUCAUCAGAGAACAGCUAGUAAGCCCCCAUCUGCCGCUGGUGCACACCAACAUGAGCUGAACAGAUCCAGCCUCUGCCCCGCCUCCCUCCCGGGGGUGCCGUUUAGGUGGUGAUCACGUACCAGGCUGGAGGCAGCAGAAUGGGGGCAGGGAACCACACGAUGGGCAGAACGUCUGUCAUGGUUCACGUCCAAGGCCGGCUCACGUGCACGGGGCAGGCUGGACAGGUGCAGGCCAGUGUCCCUGGCACAAGCAGGCCGGUAUUUCUUCUGAAAUGAUGACUCUGUUGGGGGAGAAAAGUUGUGAGAGACAACGGUGGAUGGCCCAGGGCUAGCAGAGGGCGGGGGCCUGUGCUGCCAGGCUGGGCAGGGGGCCCUGCCCGGGUUCCCUCUGACAAUCAACACCUGGUUUAAGACUCAGCAAAUGGCUUACUCGCUGGGCUUCAUGCUGUCCUCUAGAAGACGUGGGUCACAGUAGCUAGCUUGUAGAUUAAACGUGAAACUGUCCGUGAAGUGCUUAGGACAGAUAGUACCUGGCACACUGUAAUUCUCCAGGGAAUUAUCGCUACUAUUAUAACUGCAUAGGAGAGAGGAAUGUGUGUUAGAAACACAAGCCACAGGAAGUAAGUUACGCUCCUGUCCAGUGACACCAGCAGUGAAGCAGCUGCCAGCACGAGCCCUGGGGAAUCCGGGUGCAGCAGAGAAGUUCCAUGGUCAGAAAGACUGGGCAAUGGCCAACUACUUCAUCUUCCUGGUUUACAAAGCAGAUUUGCAUAUUAAAGGCUCAAAAGAGGCCUUCAAUAUGAAAAUGUUACAUUUUGCUCUGUUCAUUCUUCUCUGCAACUUAGCGGACCACAGAGCCCUUUGUUUUGGCUGAACACGAACCUCUCCCAGGAAUCAUUUCAAACACAGAGAUUUGGGGUCCAAAACAGUCCCCGUUGUAACGGCUUGUUUCCACACACGAGCGAGGCAAGAGGAGACCAGCCAGGGAGAACGAGGGGAGAUGGGAGAGAGGGAGUCCCCUGCCCCUGCUUUCCACGCGGUGGGCAGCACGGAAAAGGAACAGGAGCGUAGGAAUCCGCAGGCGCUCAGAGGUGUUCUGGGAGACGGUGAGUGGGGCCCUUGGGAUGACAAGGCCGGAGGGAAGGCAGAGACUGAGACCCAAGCUCGGGAGGGUGUGGGGGCACGGGUCCUCCUCCCCUACCACCCUGUCACAGCCGGCUCCGCGGAGGCAUCGGGGAGGACCCGCGCCAGGAGGCAGGGUGAGGGCAAGGCAGGUACUCCCACCCUCCCUGCCGGACAGAGGCGGUGUUCGGGAGCUGACAGCCCACCUGCGCUGCAAUAUAGAUCUGUAUCUAUGGAUACAUACACACAGAGUAGAUGGCCCGACGAGCAGCCGAAAUGGAAAAUGCGUGUCCCUCGUUGACAAUUCGGAGACCCCUUACCUUGGAUUAAUGGAAAAAAAAAACAAAAACAAAACAAAACACGUCCUUGGGAGUGAGAUUCUCUUUCAGAUGCUCCCCUGGAGGGGAAAAUAUUUCUGGUUAUUGCACUUAAAAGGUUUCUCAAAAUGUGGCCCACAGACCCCCUGUGAAGGGCCCAAGUCCGCUCUCUGAUCAGAACCCCAAAUGAAAGUCAAGCACAGCUGUGUUAGCUUCGUGAGGUGGGAGGCGAGCCGUCACCCCGUGGGGCCCUGUGUUGGGAUGACAAGGGGCUCGACUGCCAUGUGGAAGGUACGCCCCCACUCCAAACCCGGAGAGCUGAAUUGGGAAUCCGAACUCUACCCUGGAGGUGGGGCAGGGUCCUGCGGCCUUCCCAUCUCCAUUGCCACCAAGAGAAAGGCCCUCAAGGACUCCAGGAGGCGAUGGACCUUGCCUACUUCUGGUGACAGAGCCCAUGAGGGUUAGGAUCAGGUCAGCCUAGAGGUCCAUACUCUUCCUGCAGCGCUGAAGACCUGAUCUAGAAACUUCUCUGGAGGUUGCCAGAGUGGAGAGCAAAGCUGAGGGCAAGCACCAGGUGCUCAUGCUAACAGGCAGGAGGACACCGAGGGGACCUCCGCCUCAGGUUUCGGGGGCUUCCCAGCCACAUCAACAUGCAAGGGACUUGCACGCACACCUAUUUUGUCAUCCGGGUUCUUCUGUCCCUGAGAAACCCGUUUUCUGGCCUCUUAUCGUGUUGCCAUCUGAAGCACCAAUUACGAACACAGGACAUCUGUGUGUGGAAAAGCCAAACAAAACACAACCUCACUCAUUAAACUGUCUUCCCCUUUUCCUUCCUGCCUCUCCCGCGCCACACCAGCAGAAAGAGAAACCAGGCCAGUGAGCUGCCUACCUACUGGCGCAGCUGAGCGCGCGGGCCUCCUCCCGGGCCCCUCGUGGGGACCCGGGCCCACGCGCCAGCCCCGCUUCAGGAAGGGCUCAUGCCUGGGAGCUCGGCUUUCAGGGGAUGCUCGGAGACGACCCCGGCCAUCUACCAGUGUAACGGAGCCCUGGAAAGGGAGGCAGAGGGGCUGGGGCACUGGCAAUGCAUUUCCGGGGGCUGCUGCCUGCCAGCGAGCAGCAGGGGCGUGGUCAGGUCCGGCACAGCUGACAACGGAGAUGUCACAUGCCACCUCUACACUGGCUUAACGCAGAGAAUUCGGGGUCAAGGGUUUAGGCCGAACCAGCUUCUAUUUAUAAUAAAGAGCAUCGAGGAGGGGGCAAACGGGACGGCAGGGGACUGGCUCGGUCUGGGUGCCCGCCGGCACGACGCUACGCUGAGGCAGAAGUCUGUGCUCAGCGCCUCGCCCCCGUGAGCGCGGGGCCUCCAUUGGGAGCUCUUCCCAGGCAGCUGAGUGCUGCUGGCUCUAGAUGGCCCCUGUGUGGGAGCUAAAGAGAGCGCAGGAGGGGGGAACAAGCCCCAUGUCUGGCUGGGUGGGUGUCGUGGGGACUGUCCCCUGCCCCACAGCUGAGGAAGCCUCAUGAGAGAGCAGGGGGAGACAGGCUCAUUCCACAAGGACCCACAUGGGUACGUGUUAAGCAGCUCAAGUCGAAGCUCUCCGAGAGGCAGAUGCCCUGACAGAAGGCACAGACGGACCCCACUCCUUUCUCCUGCUGCACCAGGGACCUAAAUCUGGUUUGGGGCCCAACAGUGACGCCGGCUGGCAAUCCUCUUCUGAGGGGCCAGAAGAACCAGGAAGCUCAUCGCCCUGGGAUGUCCAGGCCCCAUUUCAGGACCAAGUCCCGGUCUGCAGGACAGGGGUGUGGGGACCUGCACGUCACACCGAGGGUCCAGGCCAGUCUCGCAGAGGGGGACCAGCAGAGUGGGCUGUGGCGCUCUGGAAGCCAACGGAAGCAGUGAGACCACACUGGCUAUCACGGGACAGAUUCAAUCACAUGGAAAACUUUUAUUAAAGCAUUUUAAAAUAGAACUUUCCAAUAUGUAAAACUCUGAACAGCCCUUCCUGACCCUCCCCUGCCAUGACCUGAGCCAAAUGCACCGUCGCAUCCUGGCCCGACUGCGCCGAGAGGCCGUUCUUGCUUGUUGGCAACUGCUUAGGGCACCGCAGCCCUAAGCAGUGAAAUCGCCCAGACCUGAAGGGUCCCGCGCUCCCCACUCCCCGCUGCGGACUGGACUGAAGCUGGGCUCCGCCCGCCACGCUGGCAAGCACGGGCUGAGGCGUCUGUGGCGUCUGUGGCGUCGGCCGCAGAGAUGUUGCCUCGGCUCCCGGCCGCCCCGGGGUUAUCUGCCCUGUGGUUAACAGACAGCGGACCAGGCCUGGUGACCAGUCGCUGUCACUGGAGAUAAAGGCGCGCUUCUGCACCACGCCUCUCCAGAGUCGGAGAAAUCAGCGGCGGGACAUGCGGCCCCCAGAGCUAGACCAAGAAGACGAGCUGAUGGGGCUCAUCCAGGGGGCGGCAGCCCCAUCAUCGGGGCCCACGGGGCUCUUUUCCAGGCUUGGCUCACGGCUCCCUGUAUCUUCCCUUUAGGUGCCAUGAGCUCUUCUGAGACAGCUGAUGCCCACAUGCGGGGCUUCCCGGCCCUCUACUCAGUCGCCCAGGCUGGGGCCUGGAGGGUCCGGAGAGCCAAGAGCAGCAAGGACACGGAAAGGAGAUUCCAAGUUACAGCCUCAAAAGUCUUGGGAGAAGCUCCUGCACGCCCUCUCCUUGCAUCCGUCUCCGAUGCUGCGGACACCUGGUGCCACCCUUGAAGACAAACACUGCCGGCGGGCGGAAGGCCAGGAAGGUUUCUCAGAGCCCCAGGCACGAGGAAACCUCUCUCCUAGGCGGUGACCUGACAUAAGCCCCAUGCGUUCAGCACGGGAACAGACCAGAGUUUAAUAGUGGGGGACGGCGCGGGGUGGGGGGGGGCACGACAACCAACACGAAAUAGGAAAGAAAACAAACAAGCGAUCAGGCGUCACUAGAGUUUUGGUUUUUGCUGUUUCUUUCUGGGUAUGUUUCAGGGCGAAUGUUCACGGGCAAGGGCUGCUCCGGUGCAGCUCAGCGAGAGCAGCUGAGAAUGCAGCUGGUCACAGGGACGGAAAGGAAACACCGACACCCACUCAG